Molecule: long non-coding RNA, 9147 nt
Filed under: Homo sapiens (human)
Lineage: Eukaryota; Metazoa; Chordata; Mammalia; Primates; Hominidae
Description: non-protein coding lnc-ZDHHC13-1:3
Source: RNAcentral
GUGGCCGGCGCCUCCCCUUAGCUGCGCGGGGCCUGAGCGCGGGCAAACCCGCGCCCGGAACCACGGCAACCCCGCCCCUCCCCCUCGUUCGCCCCCGCCCCUCUGCGCGGGAGCUCAGCUCCUCCCUCACGGCCCCCGGCGAAGCGGGAGGCGGGAAACGGCCGCCGCCGCCGCCGCCGCCACCCUCCCGAGCCCUCUCCCGGUGCCGUGUCGCCCGGGCGCCGCGCCCCUCUGCGUCCCGCUGACCUGUCAGUCCACCUCACGGCGGGAGCCGGCGGGGGCUGAGCCGGGACUCGUCAGCACCGCUGCCCCUCUCAGGCCCGGGAGCCCGCGUACCUGGCAGUCAGUCUUUCCGCAGCGCCGAGGUGGGUGCCGGAGAGAGACGCCGGGACCGGGACUGGCGGGCCGGCUGGCGGGCAGAGGGAGCGUGACCGUCCAGGAGCAGCCAAGCCCCCGAUUUGAAAUUAACCCGCUCCCGGCGCGAGCCGAUACCGCGGGCGGGGAGGGCCGCUCCCCUCCCCCACGCCCGCUCGCCCCGGCCCCGGCCCCCGAGCGCCAAUCCGAGCCUCCCGACCGUAGCCGCCGGCGAAUCGGUGCAGGCACCGCCCUCCACUCCCGCCUCUACGGCAGAGUUGGGGGAAAAGUUCAGCAACUUUUUUUUCCUUUUUUUUUUUUUUUGCAUACACCCCCUCCCCUUGCUCAAAGUUGGGGAAUAAAAUUUGGCCCGUCCGGGGCUCGCGGGCUGGGCCGCAGGCGCCCUGCGAUUCCCCGCUUGGGGCUAUCUCACCCCUGCCCAGCCCCAGGCCGGCUCACCUGCCCUCGGACUCCAGCCGGACCUCUCCCCCUUGCACCCCUGGCAUGCAUGAUUGUGCUGCCCACCGUCUGCCCCGUGCCUCGCAGAAACUGGCGCGAGGAGGGAGAAGCUUGGCUACUGGUGCCUAAGCUCCGUGGGCUCUGGGCCUUGGCCCAGCGGUGAGAACUCAGGUGUAGGAGGAAGAGGAGGAAGGCGGAAAACCCUCCAACCCUGUCCUCGCCGUCUUUCCUCAGGGUCUCCCACCCACUCCUCCCUUUCUCUUCCCUGUUGUCUUUCCCUCUUUUUCCGGUCUCCGAGCCUCAGGCAGCUUUAGCCUGGUUCCCUGUAGAGCCCUAGCAGGGUCGGGGAGACACUUCGAUCCUUCGUCCUCACUUUGCAGAACGGGACACCGAGGCCCGGGGCGGCGGCGCUGCCUCGGCUGCACCUGGAUCAUUUGCGCCCGCGUUGGCUCCCUUUGCUCUCCUCUGCCUUAGACUUUUCUGCGGACUGGUGCUGAGUGUUGCCCAACCGCGCCGAGAUCUGGGCGCCGGUCUCUCGAUCUGGACUCGGUUUGGCUCGUCCUCCUCUGUAAUCGCGUGUCUUUAGGCUCCAGCAGGGCCCGGGGCCACACUUCCCCACUCCCACCGCUAACUUGGGGAUCAGUGACUCUCCCAUUGCUGACUAGCAGGGCGAGGCAUUUUUAUUUUCUGCGAAACGCGAUGAGGGCGGGGAUGCUAUGAUAUUGAGGCUGGGGUCGCAGCGCAGCAGCUGCCGGCCAUAGGGCCAGGGGUCUCCGUGGCGAGCGAAGGCUCAUCUCCCCGCGGAACGCGACCGCAGGCUUGCGGUGUGGCCGCCCUGGAAUGUUGGCGCCGUCGUGUCCCUGUCCCCCUUUCGUCGCCAGCUGAGGUGCAGGUCUUGCUCAAGAAGGCGCUUCGACCUGAAAGCAGGCCUUUCAGGUACUGUGCAGAGGGGCCACUGCCUGUGGCUCGCAGAUUUGAAAUAAAGCAGAGGUCACUAUAUAGGGUUCCACCGUUGCUAGCACUGAGCGGCUGGUUCUUACUAAGCCCAGGUACCCCUUUUUUGGAGCAAGACUGGGUUCUAAAUGUAUCAACAAAAAGUGGGGAGUUGGUGCUUCUGCUUUAGCCACUAGCUGUUGGCCAGAUUGUCAUCUCCCCCAACCCCCUGAAUGGUCAGCGCUCCCAAGAGUGCAUAGAUUCAGCUAUGCCUAAUGUACCCGAAGUUAUUACAGCCCCGGAGUCCUGUGGGCCAUAAAUCCCUUUUAAAGUUCUUUAGAAGCAGUCUGCCUCAUGCACCUGUGUUCAGAGAUAGUGACUAAUUCGUUCAAAUCUGUGAUCUACAGGGCCAUUCAUGCUGCAGAUGUCUGAGUGACAGUUACCUGUAAGGCACAUCAUGCAGGGAGCAGCCACCUCUGGUGACACUUGACAGAUGGCCUCUCAUUUCAUACUCAGCACAGGUGUGAAAGCAUGGGUUAUGACUCUGAGAGGGAAGCAGCAUUUUAAAGUGACAAACCCAAGGUCUAACUGUAAGGGACAGGACUGGGAUUUGAAGCCAAGGGUGUUUAACGUCUCAGGGCUUUCCACUGAAAGCUGUGUUCACCACUGUGCGGCGUGCUCAUCCUUACUUGCUUCAUAGGAUAGUUGUGUCCCAUUUUAUAGAGAAGAAAACUGAGGCACAAAAGGGUUAAACUGAUGGCCAAGUUAGCUACAGAGCCAGAAUUAGAAUCCAGGUCUACCUGCUCCAAGUUCAUACAUCCCAUUCCACUGCCUCUGAAAGUUCCUGUGAGAGCAAUGUUAGUGCCAACUCAGGCUAGCCCUUAACCAUUUCAACCCCUCCCUAAACACACAAAAAAACAGGAAGGUGAGAGUGUAAUUCUUGCUUACUGAUAGUUGUCAUGUCUUACUGAAGGAAGUGAAAUUAUAGUCAAACUCAUUGAAUAUGUUGAAAAGUGGUUUUAUUAAGAGUGAAGUGAUACAGUUUUGAAGUCUUAACAACACUUUCAUGUAAUGAAAGGUAAUAAAGAAAGAAAGGUUCUACUCAUCACUGUGUAGAGUAUCAAUUUGAAAUGCAGCAUGAGUGUAAAGGAGGGAAAAGACUACUGAAAACUUUUAUGUUUACUGCAUAACCAAGAAGGAAGGAUCAGGGCAUAAGCUUGAAACUUUUUUUUUUUUUUAAUUUUCCCAUCAAAUAUGUUUUCCACUUAUUAGUUACAUAAUCCAAGGGAAUAUUUGUGUAUUUGUUUCUGGUCUUUUGUUCAUCAUGUUGUGUAAUCUGUGUCUCACUGAAGUUAGACCAGUUUUUCUACUCUGUGCUGUCGCCCUUCUGGAUUGCACAACUUGGAGGGCUGAUACGUUGUGUAACACGUUCAGCAUUAAAUAAAGUAUUAUGAAAAAAGAUAUCAAAGGUAAGGAGGAAAGAUAGGCAUCACCGGGGCGCCUACAUUCAAAGGUAACAUUUGGGAUUUCUGAAGCGUGUCCCUUUUCAUCAUCACCAAAAAGACAGGCAAGACCUUCCCCUGCUGAGCAGGGAAGGAUGAAGGGCUAAGGAAGGAGUUCUAGCUAAUGGGUUUCUUGACCUUUUCUGUCUGUCUUGCUGCCCCACCUCCUAGGUGCUUAUAUCACCAACUCUGCUUCCUGACCUAGUGGGGCAAUUUGGGUUUGUGCUUUAUCUGCAGUACGUGUUGGCAUAGAUACCACGAAACAGCUCUCUGGAGCUUAAAACUGCACAAAUCCCUAUGUGCUGGGUUGGAUUGUGGCUGCUCACAGCUAGAUCUCAGCUAUUCCUGGUCCUUGUACUAAGCCUACAAAUGAAUCAUGCUGGGUCUAGUCUGGGCAGGGUUAAAGAGGAUGGAUACAAGCAAGGGACCCAGGAAGUGGGCAUGCCUGGAGCUGGCUUGUGCUGACUGUGGAGCUAGACUAGGUCAGAGUAAGUCCCAGGCAGCAGCAGGGCUGUGUGUGAAAUCCCUUCAGACUCUCCUGUGACCUCCUGUGGGAAAUUCCUGAUAGGCCCUGAUGUAUCCUGAUGAGCCCCAUAUAGACAUUUGCAGCCCUGGACUCAGCUGCAGCAGCAACAGUUGCUGCCAUUUAUUGAGCAAUUACUGCUUCUAAUUUCUUUUUUUGUUGUUUUUUUUUGAGACAGAGUCUUGUUCUGUCACCCAGGCUGGAGUGCAGUGGUGUGAUCUCGGCUCACUGCAACCUCUGCCUCCUGGGUUCAAGCAAUUCUCCUGCCUCAGUCUCUCAAGUAACUGGGACUACAGGUGCGCGCCACCACGCCCAGCUAAUUUUUGUAUUUUUAGUAGAGAUGGGGUUUCACCAUAUUGGCCAGGCUGGUCGCGAACUCCUGACCUCAUGAUCUGGCCACCUCAGCCUCCCAAAGUGCUAGGAUUACAGGCAUGAGCCACUGCGCCCAGCCAGCUUCUAAAUUUUAAAAAUACUUUGGGGAUAAUAGAACACAAAUUUUUCUGAGAGUCCUCAUGCGAAGCUGGAGUCUGAGUUCUGUUCUCAUUUUAUUAUUGCGCAUGGAAUCUUAAAAUUGUCAUAAUGUCAUGUAAUCCAGUGCUUAUCAGUGGGUUGGAAAAACCUGCUUUUCCAGGUUCUAGGACAUUAAAGAAGUAUAUGUAGAGAUUCCUAGGAGUAGGGUUCAGGAAUUUAUUACCUAAAAUAUAGUCCUACUGGAGCCAGGCGCUGUGGCUCAUGCUUAUAAUCCCAGCCCUUUGGGAGGCCAAGGCGGGUGGAUCACUUGAGGUCAAGAGUUUGAGACCAGCCUGGCCACAUGGUGAAACACCGUCUGUACUAAAAAUACAAAAAUUAGCUGGGCGUGCUGGUGGGGCCUGUAAUUCCGGCUACUUGGGAGGCUGAGGCAGGAGAAUUGCUUGAACCCGGGUGGUGGAGGUUGCAGUGAGCCAAGAUUGCACCACUGCACUCCAGCAUGGGCCAUUAAGCAAGACUCUGUCUUAAAAAAAAAAAAAAAACAAAAGUCCCAUUCAAUGCAGGAAUCCUAUAACCUUCCUGAUCAAUCAAUGAUUGCUGCUCUUUGCUUAAAGCUGGUAGUGAAAGGUAACUGUGCUGAUCCCCUCCAGGCAGAUUUAUUCACAUCCUGUUCUUGAUCAUACCCCUAUAUAGGCACCUCUGUUAUGGAUGCUUCCCACCUACACCACUGUGCGCUCCUUAAGGCAGGGAGAGGGACUUCUUCAUCUCUUGGUCUUUCCAGUGCCCAGCAAAGUGCCGGACCCAGAGCAGGGGCUUGAUAGGUGUUGGUUGAUGGAGUAAAAUUCUACUCUGGAAUGUUAUCCCACCAACCUCAGAUGAUACCUUGUCUUUUAAUCUCUUUAUCUUCAGUACUGAGUUCAAUGCCUGGCACACACUUGGUGUUCCAUAAUGCUAGGAAAAUGAGCUCGUAAUUACCACUCCCUUUUAAAUGUCAGGUUUUUUACUUUAGCUAGGUUCUUCGGUUUUAUUUAUUUACUCACUGAAAAAUAGUAUACUGAGUGCUAUACUAUGCCCCUAAACCCUGAAUUAGGUGCUAGGUAUACACAGUGAGUGAAAGAGAUAAAGUCCUUGCCCUUUUGGAGUUUAUAUUCAAGCAGUAGAAAGUGUCUGGUGCAAAGUGUUAGCUUUUAUUGUAUUUUUUUUUUCCUGUGUGAGAUUUCUCGCCAUUCCUCAAUUCAACAAAUAUGCCUUUUUUAUUUUUUUUUUAAAAAUAAAUGUUCUAUCUCUAUAGUACUUUUUAAAAGUUUCUGUAGAUAUUUUUCUUCCCUAGGAACCCAAGUUUUCUUCUCUUCUCCUUUCAUCCCAUAUGUAUGGAUCACUUGCUCCAAGCCUAGGGACUCAGCUAGGCACCAGCUACAGGACAUGUUGGCUGCCCUUGGGAUCCCAGCAACAAAGCCAACUCUUCACUUACUCCCACUCCCCCUCUCUCUUUCUCCCUCUUCUGCAGAGAUGUGGACUGCAUCUGGACAAAUUGUCUGCUUCUCUGAGUUCUUCAAGAUUGUGGCCUCUUAGUCACGGGAGGAUGCCCUGUUUCUCUUGGAAUGAUACUGAAGUUGGCAUAAGUGGGUUCCUUACACCUCAGUGGCCCUCAGUCAUUGUGAAUUCAGGCACUGAGAAGACAGAGCAGGCUCUUGAUCAGCUGUGUCAGGCUGGGGGCAUCCCCCAUAUAAGGUUCUAAACAGUCACCAAACAUUCUAAUAAUCCACUCCUCCCUGAAAUCUGAAAUCUGCCUGAUUUCUUCCAACUUCUUGGCACUAAUGAAUACCCCUUAAAGUUACGGUUUUCAGGAUAUGAUUUGACCUAAUAUGCUUCAUGAUAUCCAGAUAUAUUAUGGUAGAGUUUUAUUGCUCAUUGAACUGCUUUAUUGUACAAUACAGAGACAGAAUAGGACCUACACAGAUUAAUUUUGUUGACAAAACAACUUAUUUUCCAAAAGAAUUAGAUAGCUCUCCUCUAAGCCUUAAUCAAAAAUGUUUAGACUGGGUGUAGUGGCUCACGCCUGUAAUCCCAGCACUUUGGGAAGCAGAGGUGGGCAGAUCACGAGGUCAGGAGAUUGAGACCAUCCUGGCUAACACGGUGAAACCCCGUCUCCACUAAAAACACAAAAAAUUAGCAGGGCGUGGUGGUGGGUGCCUGUAGUCCCAGCUACUUGGGAGGCUGAGGCAGGAGAAUGGUGUGAACCUGGGAGGCAGAGGUUGCAGUGAGCCAAGAUUGUGCCACUGCACUCCAGCCUGGGCGACAGAGUGAGACUCCAUCUCAAAAAAAAAAAAAAAAAGCUUAAUAAAAGCUCACAACAGUUAUCAAUAUGGAAAUUGACUAGAGUAUAUUAAUCCACGUGUGGUUAUAGUUAUUAAUGAAUUGCAUUUGAGUUUGCCCGCAAAAUAUAUAGUUCUAUAUACUCUUUUACGAUAGUGCUAACAUGGAACAUAGUCCAUGAUUGAUUAUAUGCUCGGCCAUAAAGCGAGUCUCCAUAAAUUAAAAAAAAAAAAAUCAAAACCAUACCAGCCAUACUCUCAGCCACAGCAGAAUAAAAAUAAAAAUCAAUACCAAGAUGAUCUUUCAGAAACCACACAAUAACAUGGAAAUUAAACGACUUAGUCCUGAAUGAGUUUUGGGUAAACAACGAAAUUAUGGCAGAAAUUUAAAAAUCUCUUGGAAAUACAUGAAAACAGAGAUACAACAUACCAAAAUCUCUGGGUUGCAGCAAAAGCACUGUUAAGAAGAAAGGUUACAGCACUGAGUGCCUACCUCAAAAAGUUAGAAAGAUCUCAAAUUAAUGAUCUAAUGUCACACCUAGAAGAACCAGAAAAAUAAGAACAAAUGAAUCUCAAAGUUAGCAGAAGAAGAGAAAUAAUUAAAAUCAAAGUGGAACUGAAUGAAAUUGAGGCCCCAAAUCCAUACAAAGAAUUAACAAAAACCAAGUUGGUUAUUUGAAAGGAUAAACAAGAUCAGUAGACCACUAGCUAGAUUAACAAAGAAAGAAGAUCCAAAUAAGCACAAUCAGAAACAACAAAGGUGACGCUAUGCCUGAUCUCACAUAAAUACAAAAGAUCCUCAGAGACUACUGUGAAUAUACCUCUAUGCACACAAACUAGAAAAUCUACAGGAAAUGGAUAAAUUCCUGGAAAUACACAGUCUCCCAAGGUUGAAUCAGGAAGGAAUUGAAACACUGACCAGAUCAAUAUUUAGUUCCAAAAUUGAAUUAGUAAUAAAAAAUCCUACCAAUCAUAAAAAUCCUGGACCAGAUGGAUUCACAGCCUAAUUCUACCAGACAUACAAAGAAGAGUUGGUACCAGUUCUACUGAAACUAUUCCUAAAAUCAAGGUGGAGGGACUCUUCCCUAACUCAUUCUACAAAGCCAGCAUCACUCUGAUACCAAAACCUGGUAAAGAUACAACAAAAAAAGAGAACUACAGGCAAAUAUCCCUGAUGAACAUAGAUGCAAAAAUUCUCAACAAAAUACUAGCAAACUGAAUUCAACAGCACAGCAAAAAGUUGAUUCACCAUGAACAAGUAGACUUCAUUCCUGGGAUGCAAGAUUGGUUCAACAUAUACAAAUCAAUAAAUGUGACUCACCACAUACGAAGAAUUAAAAGCAAAAGUCAUGUGAUUAUCUCAAUAGACACAGAAAAAGCUUUUGAUAAAUCCAACAUCCCUUCAUGAUAAAAACCAUCAAGAAGCUAGGCCUCGAAGGAACAUACAUAAAAAUAAUAAGAGCCAUCUAUGACAAACCCAUAGCCAACAUCAUGAAAACUGGAAGCAUUCUUCUUGAGAACUGGAACAAGACAAGGAUGCCAUGCCCACUCUCACCACUCCUAUUCAACAUAGUACUAGAAGUGCUCGCCAGAACAAUCAGGCAAGAGAAAGAAAUAAAAGGCAUCUGAAUAGGAAAAUAAUAACUCAAACCAUCUCUUCGUGGACUAUAUGAUUCUAUACCUAGAAAACCCUAAAGACUCUGCCAAAAGGCUCCUGGAACUGUAAACAGUAAAGUUUUAGGAUACAAAAUCAAUGUACAAAAAUCAGUAGCAUUUCUAUAUACCAAUAGCAUUCAAGCUGAGAGCGAAAUAAAGAACUCAAUCCCAUUUACAAUAGACACACACACACACCCCUAGGAAUACAUCUAACCAAGGAGGUGAAAGAAUCCCUAUAAGGAGAACUACAAAACACUGCUCAAGAAAUCAGAGAUGACACAAACAAAUGAAAACAUUCCAUGUUCAUGACUUGGAAGAAUAAGUAUCAUUAAAAUGGCCAUACUGCCCCAAGCAAUCUACAGAUUCAAUGAUAUUCAUAUCAAACUACCAACAUCAUUUUUCACAGAAUUGGAAAAAAAUUCUACAAUUCAUACAGAACCAAUAAAGACCCCAAAUAGCCAAAGCGAUCUUAAGAAAAAAGAACAAAGCCAGAGACAUCACAUUACCCAACUUCAAACUAUGUUAUAAAGCUACAGUAACCCAAACAGCAUGAUACUGGUACAAAAACAUACACAUAGACCAAUAGAACAGAAUAGAGAACCCAGAAGUAAAGCCACACACCUACAGGCAUCUAAUCUUUAACAAAGUUGACAAAAAUAAGCAAUGAGGAAAGGACUCCCUAUUCAAUAAAUGGUGCUGGGAUAGCUGGAUAGCCAUAUGCAGAAGGAUGAAACUGAAUCCCUGCCUUUCAAGAUAUAUAAAAAUUAACUCAAGUUGGAUUAAAGAUUUAAAUGUAAGACCUCAAACUAAGAAUCCUAGAAGAAAACCUAGGGAACACCACUCUGGACAUCAGCCUUAGGAAAGAAUUUAUGACUAAGUCCUCAAAAGCAAUUGCAAUAAAAACAUUGACAAGUGAGACCUAAUUAAACUAAAGAGC